RNAcentral lists this ribosomal RNA (207 nucleotides) under uncultured bacterium. RNAcentral describes it as "partial 16S ribosomal RNA". It matches the Rfam family "Bacterial small subunit ribosomal RNA", at positions 568 to 774 of the family's 1533-position model. The record is from RNAcentral.
CGCGUAGGCGGUCUGUUAAGUGUGAAGUGAAAUCUCCAGGGCUCAACCCGGAAACUGCUUCGCAUACUGGCAGACUUGAGGAAUGCAGAGGUUUGUGAAAUUCCCGGUGUAACGGUGAAAUGUGUUGAUAUCGGGAGGAACACCCAUGGCGAAGGCAGCAAACUGGGCAUUAUCUGACGCUGAGGCGCGAAAGCGUGGUAGCAAACA